AUUGAACGCUGGCGGCAGGCCUAACACAUGCAAGUCGAACGGUAACAGGAAACAGCUUGCUGUUUCGCUGACGAGUGGCGGACGGGUGAGUAAUGUCUGGGAAACUGCCUGAUGGAGGGGGAUAACUACUGGAAACGGUAGCUAAUACCGCAUAACGUCGCAAGACCAAAGAGGGGGACCUUCGGGCCUCUUGCCAUCGGAUGUGCCCAGAUGGGAUUAGCUAGUAGGUGGGGUAACGGCUCACCUAGGCGACGAUCCCUAGCUGGUCUGAGAGGAUGACCAGCCACACUGGAACUGAGACACGGUCCAGACUCCUACGGGGGGCAGCAGUGGGGAAUAUUGCACAAUGGGCGCAAGCCUGAUGCAGCCAUGCCGCGUGUAUGAAGAAGGCCUUCGGGUUGUAAAGUACUUUCAGCGGGGAGGAAGGGAGUAAAGUUAAUACCUUUACUCAUUGACGUUACCCGCAGAAGAAGCACCGGCUAACUCCGUG
RNAcentral lists this ribosomal RNA (490 nucleotides) under uncultured bacterium. RNAcentral describes it as "partial 16S ribosomal RNA". It matches the Rfam family "Bacterial small subunit ribosomal RNA", at positions 30 to 507 of the family's 1533-position model. The record is from RNAcentral.